Molecule: small nuclear RNA, 127 nt
Filed under: Jaculus jaculus (lesser Egyptian jerboa)
Lineage: Eukaryota; Metazoa; Chordata; Mammalia; Rodentia; Dipodidae
Description: U1 spliceosomal RNA (ENSJJAG00000002445.1)
Rfam family: U1 spliceosomal RNA
About the family: U1 is a small nuclear RNA (snRNA) component of the spliceosome (involved in pre-mRNA splicing).
Source: RNAcentral
AUAUUUACUUGGCAGGGGAGAUACUUUGAUCACAAAGGUGGUUUUCCCAGAGCGUUGUUUAUCCAUUUCACUCCAGAAAUUCAAGCGCCCAGUUUGUGGCAGUGGAGAGGCUGCAUCGCACUCUCCC